This 406-nucleotide ribosomal RNA is filed under the name uncultured bacterium. RNAcentral describes it as "partial 16S ribosomal RNA". It matches the Rfam family "Bacterial small subunit ribosomal RNA", at positions 30 to 526 of the family's 1533-position model. The record is from RNAcentral.
AUUGAACGCUGGCGGCAGGCCUAACACAUGCAAGUCGAACGAGUGGCGGACGGGUGAGUAAUGUCUGGGAAACUGCCCGAUGGAGGGGGAUAACUACUGGAAACGGUAGCUAAUACCGCAUACCAUCGGAUGUGCCCAGAUGGGAUUAGCUAGUCGGUGGGGUAACGGCUCACCUAGGCGACGAUCCCUAGCUGGUCUGAGAGGAUGACAAGCCAAACUGGAAAUGAGACACGGUCCAGAGUCCUACGUGAGGCAGCAGUGGGGAAUAUGGCACAAUGGGCGCAAGCCUGAUAGAGCCAUGCCGCGUGUAUGAAGAAGGCCUUAGGGUUGUAAAGUACUUUCAGCGGGGAGGCGUUACCCGCAGAAGAAGCACCGGCUAACUCCGUGCCAGCAGCCGCGGUAAUUC